This 123-nucleotide ribosomal RNA is filed under the name Myotis davidii. Lineage: Eukaryota; Metazoa; Chordata; Mammalia; Chiroptera; Vespertilionidae. The record is from RNAcentral.
GUCUACGGCCAUACCACCCUGAACGCGCCCGAUCUCGUCUGAUCUCGGAAGCUAAGCAGGGUCAGGCCUGGUUAGUACUUGGAUGGGAGAAAUAGAUUUGAGCAAACAACCAUACCCUUGACU